This 204-nucleotide ribosomal RNA is filed under the name Penicillium concentricum. RNAcentral's name for it is "partial 28S ribosomal RNA". It matches the Rfam family "Eukaryotic large subunit ribosomal RNA", at positions 1 to 203 of the family's 3401-position model. Lineage: Eukaryota; Fungi; Ascomycota; Eurotiomycetes; Eurotiales; Aspergillaceae. The record is from RNAcentral.
UUGACCUCGGAUCAGGUAGGGAUACCCGCUGAACUUAAGCAUAUCAAUAAGCGGAGGAAAAGAAACCAACAGGGAUUGCCCCAGUAACGGCGAGUGAAGCGGCAAGAGCUCAAAUUUGAAAGCUGGCUCCUUCGGGGUCCGCAUUGUAAUUUGUAGAGGAUGCUUCGGGAGCGGUCCCCAUCUAAGUGCCCUGGAACGGGACGU